RNAcentral lists this ribosomal RNA (407 nucleotides) under uncultured bacterium. RNAcentral's name for it is "bacterial SSU rRNA". It matches the Rfam family "Bacterial small subunit ribosomal RNA", at positions 355 to 776 of the family's 1533-position model. The record is from RNAcentral.
UGGGGAAUAUUGGGCAAUGGACGAAAGUCUGACCCAGCAACGCCGCGUGAGGGAAGAAGGUCUUCGGAUUGUAAACCUUUGUCUUUGGAGACGAAAAAAAUGACGGUAUCCAAAAAGGAAGCUCCGGCUAACUACGUGCCAGCAGCCGCGGUAAUACGUAGGGAGCAAGCGUUAUCCGGAAUUACUGGGUGUAAAGGGUGCGUAGGCGGGAGAUAAAGUCAGAUGUGAAAGGCCAAGGCUUAACCUUGGAUGUGCAUUUGAAACUUAUCUUCUUGAGUGAAGUAGAGGCAAGCGGAAUUCCCAGUGUAGCGGUAAAAUGCGUAGAUAUUGGGAGGAACACCAGUGGCGAAGGCGGCUUGCUGGGCUUUAACUGACGCUGAGGCACGAAAGCAUGGGGAGCAAACAGG